UACGGAGGGUGCGAGCGUUGUCCGGAAUCAUUGGGCGUAAAGGGCUCGUAGGCGGCCAACUAAGUCAGACGUGAAAUCCCUCGGCUUAACCGGGGAACUGCGUCUGAUACUGGAUGGCUUGAGUUUGGGAGAGGGAUGCGGAAUUCCAGGUGUAGCGGUGAAAUGCGUAGAUAUCUGGAGGAACACCGGUGGCGAAGGCGGCAUCCUGGACCAACACUGACGCUGAGUGAGCGAAAGCCAGGGGAGCAAACGGG
RNAcentral lists this ribosomal RNA (254 nucleotides) under uncultured bacterium. RNAcentral describes it as "partial 16S ribosomal RNA". It matches the Rfam family "Bacterial small subunit ribosomal RNA", at positions 524 to 776 of the family's 1533-position model. The record is from RNAcentral.